Small nuclear RNA from Mirounga angustirostris (Northern elephant seal), 107 nucleotides. The record is from RefSeq and is a predicted model, not a curated record. Lineage: Eukaryota; Metazoa; Chordata; Mammalia; Carnivora; Phocidae.
GUGCUUGCUUUGGCAGCACAUAUACUAAAAUUGGAAUGAUACAGAGAAGAUUAGCAUGGCCCCUGUGCAAGGAUGACUCGCAAACUCAUGAAGUGUUCCAUAUUAAA